This 493-nucleotide ribosomal RNA is filed under the name uncultured bacterium. Its description in RNAcentral is "bacterial SSU rRNA". It matches the Rfam family "Bacterial small subunit ribosomal RNA", at positions 28 to 507 of the family's 1533-position model. The record is from RNAcentral.
GAUGAACGCUAGCUACAGGCUUAACACAUGCAAGUCGAGGGGAAACGACAUCGAAAGCUUGCUUUUGAUGGGCGUCGACCGGCGCACGGGUGAGUAACGCGUAUCCAACCUGCCCACCACUUGGGGAUAACCUUGCGAAAGUAAGACUAAUACCCAAUGAUAUCCCACGAAGGCAUCCGAAUGGGAUUAAAGAUUUAUCGGUGAUGGAUGGGGAUGCGUCUGAUUAGCUUGUUGGCGGGGUAACGGCCCACCAAGGCUACGAUCAGUAGGGGUUCUGAGAGGAAGGUCCCCCACCAUUGGAACUGAGACACGGUCCAAACUCCUACGGGAGGCAGCAGUGAGGAAUAUUGGUCAAUGGGCGAGAGCCUGAACCAGCCAAGUAGCGUGCAGGAAGACGGCCCUAUGGGUUGUAAACUGCUUUUAUAGGGGAAUAAAGUGAGCCACGUGUGGUUUUUUGCAUGUACCCUAUGAAUAAGGACCGGCUAAUUCCGUG